CAAUAGCGUAUAUUAAAGUUGUUGCAGUUAAAAAGCUCGUAGUUGGAUUUGUGGCGUACGGUGUGUUCCGGGCACUUGUUGUCUGAGUAACCUGCUGUUGCCAUCCUUGGGUGGAACCUGUGUGGCAUUAGGUUGUCGUGCAGGGGAUGCCCAUCCUUUACUGUGAAAAAAUUAGAGUGUUCAAAGCAGGCUUAUGCCGUUGAAUAUAUUAGCAUGGAAUAAUGAGAUAGGACUUUUUUGCUAUUUUGUUGGUUUGCGCAAAGAGGUAAUGAUUAAUAGGGACAGUUGGGGGUAUUCGUAUUCCAUUGUCAGAGGUGAAAUUCUUGGAUUUUUGGAAGACGAACUACUGCGAAAGCAUUUACCAAGGAUGUUUUCAUUAA
Molecule: ribosomal RNA, 380 nt
Filed under: uncultured eukaryote
Lineage: Eukaryota
Description: partial 18S ribosomal RNA
Rfam family: Eukaryotic small subunit ribosomal RNA
Source: RNAcentral